GUCCCGCAACGAGCGCAACCCUUAAGCUUAGUUGCCAUCAUUAAGUUGGGCACUCUAAGUUGACUGCCGGUGACAAACCGGAGGAAGGUGGGGAUGACGUCAAAUCAUCAUGCCCCUUAUGAUUUGGGCUACACACGUGCUACAAUGGACAAUACAAAGGGCAGCGAAACCGCGAGGUCAAGCAAAUCCCAUAAAGUUGUUCUCAGUUCGGAUUGUAGUCUGCAACUCGACUACAUGAAGCUGGAAUCGCUAGUAAUCGUAGAUCAGCAUGCUACGGUGAAUACGUUCCCGGGUCUUGUACACACCGCCCGUCACACCACGAGAGUUUGUAACACCCGAAGCCGGUGGAGUAACCAUUUGGAGCUAGCCGUCGAAGGUGGGACAAAUGAUUGGGGUGAAGUCGUAACAAGGUAGCCGUAUCGGAAGGUGCGGCUGGAUCACCUCCUUUCUAAGGA
This 455-nucleotide ribosomal RNA is filed under the name Staphylococcus hominis. RNAcentral's name for it is "bacterial SSU rRNA". It matches the Rfam family "Bacterial small subunit ribosomal RNA", at positions 1084 to 1533 of the family's 1533-position model. The record is from RNAcentral. Lineage: Bacteria; Bacillati; Bacillota; Bacilli; Caryophanales; Staphylococcaceae.